This 460-nucleotide ribosomal RNA is filed under the name uncultured bacterium. RNAcentral describes it as "partial 16S ribosomal RNA". It matches the Rfam family "Bacterial small subunit ribosomal RNA", at positions 338 to 795 of the family's 1533-position model. The record is from RNAcentral.
CCUACGGGAGGCUGCAGUGAGGAAUAUUGGUCAAUGGACGAGAGUCUGAACCAGCCAAGUAGCGUGAAGGAUGACUGCCCUAUGGGUUGUAAACUUCUUUUAUAUGGGAAUAAAAUGUUCCACGUGUGGGAUUUUGUAUGUACCAUAUGAAUAAGGAUCGGCUAACUCCGUGCCAGCAGCCGCGAUAAUACGGAGGAUCCGAGCGUUAUCCGGAUUUAUUGGGUUUAAAGGGAGCGUAGGUGGAUUGUUAAGUCAGUUGUGAAGGUUUGCGGCUCAACCGUAAAAUUGCAGUUGAAACUGGCAGUCUUGAGUACAGUAGAGGUGUGCGGAAUUCGUGGUGUAGCGGGGAAAUGCUUAGAUAUCACGAAGAACUCCGAUUGCGAAGGCAGCUCACUGGACUGCAACUGACACUGAGGCUCGAAAGUGUGGGUAUCAAACAGGAUUAGAUACCCUAGUAGUC